UAACAAGGUCUCCGUUGGUGAACCAGCGGAGGGAUCAUUACCGAGUACUACACUCAUAACCCUUUGUGAACCAUUAUACCUGUUGCUUCGGCGGCGUCCCUCGCGGGCGCCCGCCGGUCUCAUCAGAAUCUCUGUUUUCGAACCCGACGAUACUUCUGAGUGUUCUUAGCGAACUGUCAAAACUUUUAACAACGGAUCUCUUGGCUCCAGCAUCGAUGAAGAACGCAGCGAAACGCGAUAUGUAAUGUGAAUUGCAGAAUUCAGUGAAUCAUCGAAUCUUUGAACGCACAUGGCGCCUUCCAGUAUCCUGGGAGGCAUGCCUGUCCGAGCGUCGUUUCAACCCUCGAGCCCUCGUGGCCCGGCGUUGGGGAUCUGCCACGGCAGGCCCCGAAAUACAGUGGCGGACCCGUUAGGCCCUUCCUUUGCGUAGUAGCAUUAGCCUCGCAUCGGGAGCCGGCGGGCUCUCCUGCCUCUAAACCCCCCAACAAGCCCGCUCCGGCGGCACCAAGGUUGACCUCGGAUCAGGUAGGAAUACCCGCUGAACUUAAGC
RNAcentral lists this unclassified non-coding RNA (550 nucleotides) under Brunneochlamydosporium nepalense. RNAcentral's name for it is "Acremonium nepalense sequence contains 18S rRNA gene, ITS1, 5.8S rRNA gene, ITS2". The stretch from base 181 to 334 matches the Rfam family "5.8S ribosomal RNA". The record is from RNAcentral. Lineage: Eukaryota; Fungi; Ascomycota; Sordariomycetes; Glomerellales; Plectosphaerellaceae.